RNAcentral lists this ribosomal RNA (1439 nucleotides) under metagenome. Its description in RNAcentral is "bacterial SSU rRNA". It matches the Rfam family "Bacterial small subunit ribosomal RNA". The record is from RNAcentral.
AGUAAAGUGGCGCACGGGUGAGUAACGCGUAGGUGAUCUACCUUUGUGACCGGGAUAACCAGUCGAAAGAUUGGCUAAUACUGGAUAGAGCGCUUUGAUCGUAAAGAUUAGAGCGGGAAAGGGAGGCCUUAGCAAUAGGGCUUUUGCACUGGGAUGAGCCUGCGUCUCAUUAGCUAGUUGGUGAGGUAAAAGCUCACCAAGGCGAUGAUGGGUAGCUGGUCUGAGAGGACGAUCAGCCACACUGGAACUGAAACACGGUCCAGACUCCUACGGGAGGCAGCAGUGGGGAAUCUUGCGCAAUGGACGAAAGUCUGACGCAGCGACGCCGCGUGGGUGAAGAAGGCCUUCGGGUUGUAAAGCCCUGUCGAAUGGGAAAAAUGAUAUCUGGAAUAAUACGUCAGGUAAGUGAUUGUACCAUUAGAGGAAGCACCGGCUAACUCCGUGCCAGCAGCCGCGGUAAUACGGAGGGUGCAAGCGUUGUUCGGAAUUAUUGGGCGUAAAGGGCAAGUAGGUGGUCUUGUAAGUUUACUGUGAAAUCCCCGAGCUUAACUUGGGAAGUGCGGUGAAUACUGCAAGACUAGAGUAUCGGAGGGGUACGUGGAAUUCCCAGUGUAGCGGUGAAAUGCGUAGAUAUUGGGAGGAACACCAGAGGCGAAGGCGGCGUACUGGACGAUAACUGACACUCAAUUGCGAAAGCGUGGGGAGCAAACAGGAUUAGAUACCUUGGUAGUCCACGCUGUAAACGAUGGAUACUAGACGUGGUGGGUCUUGACCCCUGCCGUGUCGAAGUUAACACAAUAAGUAUCCCGCCUGGGGAGUACGGUCGCAAGACUAAAACUCAAAGGAAUUGACGGGGGCCCGCACAAGCGGUGGAUCAUGUGGUUUAAUUCGAAACCACGCGAAGAACCUUACCUAGAUUUGACAUCCCAUUGAACACAUUCAGAGAUGAGAGUGGGCUCGCAAGAGACAAUGGAGACAGGUGCUGCAUGGCUGUCGUCAGCUCGUGUUGUGAAAUGUUGGGUUAAGUCCCGCAACGAGCGCAACCCCUGGUUUUGGUUGCCAUCAUUAAGUUGGGCACUCCAGAACGACUGCCGUCGUCAAGACGGAGGAAGGUGGGGAUGACGUCAAGUCCUCAUGGCCUUUAUAUCUAGGGCGACACACGUGAUACAAUGGUAGGUACAGAGGGUAGCGAAGUGGUGACACGGAGCCAAUCUCAAAAAGCCUAUCUCAGUUCGGAUUGGAGUCUGCAACUCGACUCCAUGAAGUUGGAAUCGCUAGUAAUCGCGGAUCAGCACGCCGCGGUGAAUACGUUCCCGGGCCUUGUACACACCGCCCGUCACACCAUGAGAGCUGGCUCAACCAGAAGUCGUGACUGUUAACCGCAAGGAGACGGACGCCGAAGGCGGGGCUAGUGAUUAGGGUGAAGUCGGAACAAGGUA